ACACACACACACUCAUGUUGUGGCUGCUGGUUGUACAUACGUACUGUUUUUUAAAUUCACUUUUUAGAUCACACAAGUUUUGUACAAAAACGAAAAUAGAUGAAGCUGAUAUUUGACACAGCGAUGACGAUUUACGUCAACUUUAUAAACGGUGCUUUAUUUUCCCUCCCUUUCAUGAGCAACAAACGUGAUUUGAUACCAAACAAUAGCAAGCGUGGCUUUGCCGUGUAGCACAGAACAUAUGUGUUGUUAUUUUUAUACAUAGAAAUGUGCUCAUCAUGUAGCAGAACUAGCUGGUACGUCCCGGGUCCCCUCCCAAGCAGCAGGGGGCAGUACGCAAACCUAUCCUUUCUUCCUUUGUUUCUUCUUCCUGACUGGAACAGAAUGUUGAUUCACAUGUACUGUAGGUUUUAGCUCUAAAACACUAACCAAUCAGUGAUUAUGCAAUUAAGUGUAUAUAUAUAUAUAUAUAUAUAUCUUUUUGUAGUUUAAUGGCGCACAAGGGAAGUGACAAUCAGGCGCAUUUGAAAUUGGUAACACUACAAACAAACAAGACACUCUUUUGAGCUGAAACCUCAACCAAAGCCCAAAUAUCUGAAUGUGUAUCUAAAUUUUGUCAUUAAUGUUUGUACACUAUAACCUCAAAAUAUGAAUACAAAUCUCAUAUGCACCAAAAUUAAACCCUUCUGCUUAAAUUUGUAGACACGUUUUUUUGUCUGAUCCAUUUAAACAAAUAUUGACAAAAAAAAUCAUUGAUGAGGAGGUAAUGAGAUAAUUUAAGUCUUGCUCAAGCAAACUUGGCGUGCAAGAAGUAGCAUGUAGCUGCAUCUCGAUUAAUACUGGCAUGUUAAAGUGUCGCAUAAAGAGGCUAGCCAACGUUGGUGACGACAACUUGCUAGUUUUAUGAAUUUUAUACCAUUAGUCUUUGUAAAGAUGUUCCUCCAGCUUUUUUUUCUUCAUGUUUUUGAGUUACUAAAUGGUUUUCAUAAAGCAGAACAAAAGGAUUAGGCUAGCUAACACUGGGACCGACGAAUAGCUAGUUUUUUCAUCAAGAUCUAAGACACUAUGACAUAGAACAUUCCUUGCACCUUCAAAAUGUUUUCUUGGUUUUUCUUGUGACAAAAUGACAUCUUAAGAAGUAGAACAUAGUUAACAUGCUACUCAAUGCUGCCGUAUUAACAUGUCGGCAAAAAAAAAAAGGCCAGCUAACACUGGAAGCAAGCUAGUUUUACGACAUUUUAGACUGUUCUUGUUUGUCACAUCAUUCCUUGCACAUUGAUUUUUUUUUUAACUUGUGUUUUUGAGCCACAAAAUGGCAUCCAAGAAGGCUGGCAUGGCUGCGUCAAAAGUUGAGUAGGCUAGCUAACACGGGUGACUAAAAGUAGCUAGUUUUACAUCACAUACUACGACAUGUGUGUCAACAUUCCCAAAAUGUUUUCUCAUGUUAAGUGUCACAAAUGGUGUCUAAAGUAGUAGAACAUGGCUACAUAUGACAACGUGACGACUAGAGUAGCUAACACUAGCUAGUUUUACGUAACGUCCUGUGCGGCCCUCGCAACAUCUGAAAAUAUUGUCUCCAUCGUUUUGAGCAACAAGCUUGCAUCUCAGAAGCAGGACAUAACUUCGUAGUGUGACCGACCUUCCAUAAAUGUUCCCCUGCGGAUAUUGUUCUCAAACGUUUUCUUUUGUUGCUAACAUCACAGCAGUCAUUAUUUGGUUUGAGUGCCUUCCUUGCCUUGCGCGUUGUGUUGACGUCAUCGCUGGCGAAAUGAUAGGUCAUAAUGGGUAAUGCAGUGUAAAUACAGAGUAUGAGUUCCAUUUUGGUAGCUGAUGGCAUCAUCAGCGUCUGUGUAGUCACUGGGAUUUGCGAGAAAAUAAAAACACUUUGCUUUGGAAAUGUAAUGUUUUCUUUCUUUCCAGCGGUAUCUGCCUGUCGAUAAUCUGUCAUCUUGGCUAUAUAAUUGUCUGUCUAUUCACCCAUCUAUCUCUCUGUCUAUCUAUUUUCUCAAAAUGAGUAGUUCAUAUGCCAAGUCUAUAUCUAGUGCUGCCACAGAAAGAACCGGAAACUGGAAAAAAGAUGCCAAAUUGAUGAAAGACAUUUGAUGAUAGAGUCCUGCUUUUGCUGCACAACACAAUGGGGAUUGUGUGUUACUUUGUGUACCACAAUGCAAGUGUGAAAACUACAACAAAAUAUCAGAAUAAAUAUGUCCAA
Long non-coding RNA from Hippocampus comes (tiger tail seahorse), 2212 nucleotides. RefSeq lists it as uncharacterized. The transcript is spliced from 2 exons. The record is from RefSeq and is a predicted model, not a curated record. Lineage: Eukaryota; Metazoa; Chordata; Actinopteri; Syngnathiformes; Syngnathidae.